Molecule: long non-coding RNA, 3011 nt
Organism: Nicotiana tabacum (common tobacco)
Lineage: Eukaryota; Viridiplantae; Streptophyta; Magnoliopsida; Solanales; Solanaceae
Source: RefSeq, a predicted model, not a curated record
UCGUCGUCCUGCUUCGGGGUUAUUUUCGGAAAUGUUCCCUCUAAGUGGCUUAAAGCUGUUCUCGUGUACAUCCUAUUUCUUCAACACCUAAGCGCCAGGACGGUCUUCAAUUUCUCAUCUCACCCUGUGCUCUCUCUCUUUCUCUCCUCUCUGCCUCUCUUUAGAUUCUUUUCGUAUGGAUCUCUCUGUUUCCCUUUGUUUUCUCACUAAGAUUGGAAUUAAAGCUGCGUAUUGUGGGCUGUUGAUUUUGUUCCUGUGUUUUUUUUUAUAUUCCAAGAGUUCUGGUCGAAUUGUACCCCCAAGUUGCUUCCACUAUAACUCUUCACACCACUGGAGAAGAUGACCAUUUGUAAUAGGAUAUUUGCCGCGUCUAUGAUCAGGUGUUGAGGUGUACUUUCUUUUGUCAAACACGUGGUGUGCAAUUCUUCAAUCUUCCCUUGUGUCUGUGUUGGUAGAUCUCUGUCGUUCCCUUUUAGGUUUGGAAUUAAAGCUAUGUAAUUUGGGUUGAGCUCAUUCUCAUAGGGUUGGAGUCAGUGCUGGAUAUGUAUCUUCAAAGAGCGACGAGUGUAAAACGUGGCUGCCAACGCUGUUGGACUCACUGUUUGCACAGUUCAAUUUUCUUUUUACGGCUGCUGGGUGAUUCAUUUUCUUCCUCCUGUUGUUCUCCGUGUUGGCGCUGCUGAAACGUAAAAUUACGAAUUCUGCUGAGAGGUGAGACUUGCUUUUGCUAAAAUUUCAUGUUCCUUGUUGUGGGCUACUCUGCUGACAAGUUCGACUUAGUUCUUUUAGUUAGCUUUCUCUUUCAUCUUGAUAAAUCUUAUGGCUCUACUUGGAUUAUGAACUGACAUAUAACGAACUACAUAUAUGAGUUAAGUUUUUAGUUAAAGCGGACAUAGGAUUAAUGGCAAUUCGAUACUAUAAAUGAUUCCAGGAUGAGGUGCCUCUUUUUGGUUUUAAUAUUUAAAAAGUGAUAACCAACUGCUUGGCAUAUUUUACUUCGUAGUUUGAUUUGGAUUAAGGUUUGGGAAGUUGGAUAAGGAAAGAGAACUGGCUUAUGCUGAAUCUGCGAUCCUGCAAGCAAUUGCAAACAGAACACUUUGGCCUUUUUUUAAGAAAGGAGAAGCAUUGACCUUUUUGUCCACAAUAUUGAUCUUUUGUACUUCUAAGUCCUAUGCGGAGAGAUUUUUAGUUCCAUCUGAAGGAGUGAAGGUAAAAAUUUUGCAAUAAUUAUUUGUUUGAACUAUCUUUCUCCCUAUUGGAAAUGAUUGUAUCCUCUAUAUCUCCAAACCAUAAACUGCAAAAUAAGAAUCGCAGGCUUGACUUGCUUCUUUAGCAUAUUGUUCAAUUUGUCUUUUCAGCGAACAUAAGGUCUGCGGCAAAUGUGAUAUCUCAAGAAUCUUACGUAGAAUUUUUUUUAUAGCACAUACACAAUUGCCAGGUUCUUAUCUGACAGAUCCAGAAUUGCAUAUGACAUUGCACAGAGAAGGCAGUUUAAAAAUACAGAAAUGGAUGAAAAUCUUCUAACUCAUAUUACAGUCAAUGAGACUGCAAUUCAUUUGUGCUAAAAACUAUGACAUGGAUUUUUGAAAAUGAUUGUAAACAAUGUAAGCACACAUCAAGUCUACUCGAUAAUGGUGCAGUUGUCGAGACUUUUUGACUAAAGAAUACAUGUGCUUCAAUAAAGUAAUAAAGUCCGAGAAUUCCCAGGAUAUUUUGUUUUUAUUUUGCUGAGCAUUAGCUUUUAACAACUAAUGGGAUGUAGGAAAAUUGUUGUAACCCAACAAGUUAAUGAACCCACUUGGUGUCAGCCAUUCAUCUUCACGUGCUAAUAUGGCCAUCCGGAUUUAAAACCUUCUAUGACAGACUUUUUCAAAAAAAGAAAUAGGUAAAGUGAACAUAUACGAAAAGGUCCUAAGAGGGUUGCCGCAAUGGGCUGUAGAGUCAAAUACUUGGCAACUAUAGCUGCAGGACAAUGCCAAAAUUGCUAUGUGUAAUGUGUUUAACGACCUUGAUUUGGCCAACAGAUUCCUAAGACCUUGUAGAUCCAUUAGCUAAUAUAUUGAUUUACAUCACCUAUCACCAUAUAUGUGACCUCUUCUUUCCGUAGUAUAUGCACAUUUUAAGCUCUCUAUGAUGGUUAUUUAAUUGUAAGAAUGCAUAUGGGCUUGUGAAUGUGUGACUGAUUUCAUGUUUCCAAAGAUCUCAUCUUUAUUUCAAGAUUAACUUGGGGCAAAUCUUCUUCUAACCCAUGCCCAAAAUAUAGUUAUAUGGUUUGGAAUGCAUGAUUAUGCUCUCUGCAACUGUGACAACCCCAUGAAGUUGGAAUAGCAUGCCAUGAAAGCAAUCAAGACCUUAAUCAGUGUCAGUUGAUUAACGGAAGCGUCUCUUAGGAAAUGUUUGACAGCAUAGUUGGAGAAGUUGUUGAAGAAAUUGAAGUACCUACAGAUACCCUUGUAACACCUAGAAUUAGUUGAGGUGCGCAUAAGCUGGUCCGGACAUCAUGAUUAUUAAGAAAUGGAAUAAUUCAUCAGAGAUACUUAAUUGGGGCUGCUGGAUAACGGAGAAGUAUGAAGCACAUAAUGAACGAGCUUGCUGACAAAUUCAACACUGCAUAUGACAGGCAUAGCAGGAGGGGUGGACAAGCUACUUUUGUUUGAAAAUUUAUAUAUUGACAAUUUGCUCUUAUGGAAUCUCCUAUGUAGCAGUAGCUACAUGUUUUGCUGAGUUUAGGGAUCACAUAGGAACCAAAGUAGUGUGUUUGCUUCUUUUCUCUCUUUAGUCUUAGUUGCCCAUACAUUAUAACCUUAAUUCUUGUUGCACCAUUAUAUACGUGUGUGAAAGUGGUAGAGGAUUUUGGCUUCAGAAGCUUUUACUCAGCAUGCUUGGGCCUGUUGUUGCCCGGUAGCUGUAGUGUUAUGCAUGUACUAAUUUAAUUUGAGAUUCUGGGCAUAUGUUCUUCCUUUCCCGCAACCCAACCCUUUUAAUACCAAGAUAAUCUUCAUCGUACUUUC